CCCUUAGACGUUCUGGGCCGCACGCGCGCUACACUGACACAGGCAACGAGCUUUCCUUUACCGAAAGGUAUGGGUAAUCUUUUGAAACUGUGUCGUGCUGGGGAUAGAUCCUUGCAAUUUUUGAUCUUAAACGAGGAUUUCCUAGUAAGCGCGAGUCAUCAACUCGCGUUGAUUACGUCCCUGCCCUUUGUACACACCGCCCGUCGCUACUACCGAUUGAAUGGCUUAGUGAGGCCUCAGGAUCCGCGCUUAAUGUGUGGAGAAUUUGGACAAACUACGUCAUUUAGAGGAAGUAAAAGUCGUAACA
Molecule: ribosomal RNA, 307 nt
Filed under: uncultured eukaryote
Lineage: Eukaryota
Description: partial 18S ribosomal RNA
Rfam family: Eukaryotic small subunit ribosomal RNA
Source: RNAcentral